Molecule: long non-coding RNA, 1154 nt
Filed under: Gossypium barbadense (sea-island cotton)
Lineage: Eukaryota; Viridiplantae; Streptophyta; Magnoliopsida; Malvales; Malvaceae
Description: long non-coding RNA (GBAR_LNC018128)
Source: RNAcentral
GAAAUGGAAGUAAAAUUCGGGGCUUUAAUUAUAAAUUUACAAACAGGUUACAGGGGACUGAAAUAAGACGCUCUCAAAGCGUGGGGGACCAUCUGGGAAAUAUUCCCCUGUCCUAAAACGCAAUGCUUUAACGGAAGGUCUGCACAUGGUCUAAGGACCAAUUUUAAAUACCAACAAAAAUCACAACCCAAAUAAAAAAAAAAACUAAAAAGGAUCAGAUUGCACUAUGCUGCAAAAGCGGAGGGGCUGAACAUGCAAUUAGCCCCUCCAAGAAAAACACGCGGAUCCUAGCCAUGUAGUGGGUCGGGUCGUGGGUCAGAGGUCCAAAACGGCGUAGUUUUGGCCUCUGAACUUACUCCACAAAACAAAGUCGUUUAACAGAAUUUAUAAAGACCAAUUUUUUGAAAUUUUCAAUCUGUUUCUUUUUUUUUUGAAAUUUCAGAAAAACCUCCUUUUCUCUCAACUCUCUCUCUCUCAAAAAACAAACGCCCCUAAGGGCUGGCCAUGGGGCCACCGCAGCCACCGAGCGCCAGCGCCAUCGACCGCCGCAUGCGGUUGCCGGAGUUAAUCGGAGAAAGGCCAUUUUGGCCAUUUCUCCUCCCUUAGUCCGUUUCUUGAGAUGAAAAAUCUAAAAAAUAAAAGAAAAAUAAAACCUUCCCUUUUUAAGCCCGAUUCCGACGACGGCGAAGGGGCUUCCGUCGACGGAGCCACGGGACGAAUCAUGUACGUUUCUCUUUUCGUUUUUUUUGUUUAUUUUCGUAGAUAAAAAAUAAAGUAAAAUAAAAACAAAAUAACGGAUUGAAAUUAAAAAUAAAAAUAGUAGUCACCUUAAAGUGUUUUUUCUGUUUUAUUAUUUUUCAAUGUUCGAAAAAAAAGAGAGAGCUACAAGCAUUAGAUUUAGGCUAUUAUAGUCGAUUUGAACAACUCUCUAUUUCUACGGUUUUGUUUGUUUCUUCUGUCUGCUUCUAUUUGGCUUCUUCUUUUAUAGGUGUCAAAGGCGUGCUGCGGUGGUGGCUGGCAGAGGCGUGCACAGACGCAUGCUUACUGACGUGGAGGAGUGAGGCAACUGAUCAUGCGGCUAGGAUUUCUAGGGUUUCAGUUUUUACUGAAACUUAGUUUAGGUUGUGGGCUAAGGUUAGUUUUGGGCUGUUUGG